AUGAGAGAGAGCCUUGUUGCGGAGGCGCGAGGAGUCUAUGUCAUGUAUCAAGGCUGCUGGCUGCGACCCCGGGCCAUGCAAAGCGUCAAGUUGGUGCAAGAGCACUUCAAGGCUCGCCCCGACGACACCCUCCUCGCCACGUUCCCGAAGUGCGGCACCACCUGGCUCAAGGCCCUUGCCUUUACCAUUACAAACCGCUUCGACCACGCCGCCACCAAUGACACCCACCCGCUGCUCACCCGCCACCCUCAGGACCUCGUGCCAUUCCUCGAGAUGCCCUACCGCCAGCUCCACCCUAUCGCCGACCUCGAGAAGCUCGCCUCCCCGAGGCUCCUCGCCACCCACAUGCCGAUCACACUGCUACCUCCGUGCAUGUCCAGCCUAAGUUGCCGUGUUGUGUACCUAUUCCGCGAUCCCAAGGAUGUGUUCGUGUCCCUGUGGCAGUUCUCCAAUGAGGAGAUGAGGGCCGAACCGGUCAAGCACGUCAAGAUGCUCGCCAAGUUCCUCGGUGUCCCCUUCACCGAGGAGGAGAUGAGAUGUGGAGUGGUAGAGGGCGUUCUCAAGAAAAGUUCCGCACCCUCCCGCUCGGCCUCAGCUUUCCUGCCCAACACCGACGCUGCCGCCCCUUACCGCGACACUGGUCGUCCUCGGGCCCGAUGA
RNAcentral lists this ribosomal RNA (660 nucleotides) under Triticum aestivum (bread wheat). RNAcentral's name for it is "partial small subunit ribosomal RNA". The record is from RNAcentral. Lineage: Eukaryota; Viridiplantae; Streptophyta; Magnoliopsida; Poales; Poaceae.